GCUUUCAUAGCUCAGUUGGUUAGAACACCCGUUUAGUAAGCGGGAGUCAUGAGUUCAACUCUCAAUUCUCAAGAUCA
Zostera marina is the source of this 77-nucleotide non-coding RNA. The record is from the annotation of a GenBank genome assembly. Lineage: Eukaryota; Viridiplantae; Streptophyta; Magnoliopsida; Alismatales; Zosteraceae.